GACGAACGCUGGCGGCGUGCUUAACACAUGCAAGUCGAACGGAAAGGCCCUGCUUUUGUGGGGUGCUCGAGUGGCGAACGGGUGAGUAACACGUGAGUAACCUGCCCUUGACUUUGGGAUAACUUCAGGAAACUGGGGCUAAUACCGGAUAGGAGCUCCUGCUGCAUGGUGGGGGUUGGAAAGUUUCGGCGGGUGGGGAUGGACUCGCGGCUUAUCAGCUUGUUGGUGGGGUAGUGGCUUACCAAGGCUUUGACGGGUAGCCGGCCUGAGAGGGUGACCGGCCACAUUGGGACUGAGAGACGGCCCAGACGCCAACGGGAGGCAGCAGUGGGGAAUAUUGCACAAUGGGCGGAAGCCUGAUGCAGCAACGCCGCGUGCGGGAUGACGGCCUUCGGGUUGUAAACCGCUUUCGCCUGUGACGAAGCGUGAGUGACGGUAAUGGGUAAAGAAGCACCGGCUAACUACGUG
Molecule: ribosomal RNA, 468 nt
Filed under: uncultured bacterium
Lineage: Bacteria
Description: partial 16S ribosomal RNA
Rfam family: Bacterial small subunit ribosomal RNA
Source: RNAcentral